CCACGGCCAUCACAAAUUCCCCAACGGCGGUUUACCAGCUGCUUCACCCUUUAUAAAUGAACAGCCACCGCAAGUCCCCAGCUCAGCCCAGCCUCCGCACAACCAAACCCCGAGCACCAUGGUAAUCACUUUGCCUUACGCUCACGUCGACUGCAACCUGCGAGCCCUUGCAGGCCAAGCCGAGGGUUUCGGUCGCCAUGCCAUUGGAGGCGUCCGCGGACCCCUUUAUCAUGUCACUUCCUUAUUAGGUCACCUUCAUUCUCUCUUGCAUUUUGUCCUGAGUUAUGUAAUUUCGAAUUACUGAUGAUUUUCAGGAUUUUGUGAUUGAGUGUUUGAAUUGGUUCUUGAACUUCUGCGGAUUUUAGUUCUUAGUGCUUACUUUCUUGUUUUCUAUGGAAAUUAAUUCGUAGUUGACAUGUUUGUUCUAAUUAUGCCAUUAGACUAUUGGUGAUGUUGCUGUACUGUUCUUGGGCAGUUAAAGAAUCAUAAGCUUUGAGAAUGGUGAUAAAAUUUCGUUAUAUUAAGAAUUAAGCUUGAUGGUAGGUUGAGGUUAAAAUAAAGUACAUUCUGAUGAAUUAAAUAUUCAAACUUUGUUCAAAUUGUUGACUAAAUAUUAUAAUGAAAAAUAGUAUUUUGAGAAUUGCAGAUUUAAAUAAUGUUGAGUACUUUAUAUUGAAAUAAUCAUUCACACUUGGAGAAACACAUGUUAGUGUUUGUCUAAUAUGUGAAUAUUUUAUAUUUUUUAUGACACUGAAAGUAGCAGUUUUGGAGAUAUAUUUCUUUUUGAUAGUCAUUUGUUAAAGCAGAAAUCAAACUCACCGUUUCAGAAUUAUUUUUUUUAUUAUAAAAAUACAAUGUAUUCCUUGAGUGAACAUGCAUGUGCAUAAUUAUGAGUUUCAUUUUGUUGCAUAUGACAAAAGGUACCUCUUUUAAUAAUAUACUUUUUUUUUUCAUCACCUUCAAUGCAAAGUAUAUGAAUGUUACCAUUCUGAAACUCAUUGAAAUGCUAAGUCAGAGGAGACCAG
RNAcentral lists this unclassified non-coding RNA (1025 nucleotides) under Hevea brasiliensis (rubber tree). The record is from RNAcentral. Lineage: Eukaryota; Viridiplantae; Streptophyta; Magnoliopsida; Malpighiales; Euphorbiaceae.